GUACAAAUAGGUGGAAUAUUGUUACAUGGAGCACCACAUUUUGAGGUAAGAGAAUGUCCUAGUGGGUGAGAGUGACCAUCCUGGGACUCUGACACUUUGCCAAGAACACUGUCUGCGAGAGUGGUUCCAGGAGCCAGGUAGUCCACCCUCCUUGGAGCUGCAAGCAGAAGGGUGCUCCCCGUAUCUUAAUGGGGCUAUCUUUUACCAGCAUCUGAACGGGCCUGAUGUUUUUCAGGGUGUUGUGCUGGAAUCCAUCAGUUAGUACUUAGAGGCAAAACAAUACACAGAAGAAAUGGAACAGGAUUUUUUUUUUUUAAGGGAUUGAACCCAAGAGCAGGAUUCUUAACAAAUGAAAAGGUGCAGCUGACUCUUAAGAGACCUGGACCUUGCCUGUUACUCCUCUGGCUCUGGUUGACUAACUCUCGUGUGAACUGGUGCUGAGGUUGGGAUUCUGUCACGCGGACGUGUGGAUGGGAAUUCAGGUCUUCUCCCCGAGCGGUCCUUGCAAGAGGCUGACAUUUCUAUAGGACAGUGUCCGGACCAUGCAAGCACAGGCCUACUUGGUAGUUAGCUGCAGCUUUGGCCCCAAGUCUGAAUGAGAACAGCCAGUUGCUCAGGCAAGACGGCCGUGGGGGAGUCACCAGAGCAGUACCACGGCUGCCACCCCUCCUAAGAGGCCCAGUGGACGGCGGCAGAGAUCAGACAGUGUGCUCCGGAAGUGAUAUCGUUCAAUUUUUUAGACUUUCAGCACAGUUAACGACGUACUUCCAUGUCCAGGAGCUUUUCCAAAGCCCUGGAAGAAACUGUAUAAACUAGAAACAUUAUACAUUUGGUUAAAGACGAGAGUGAUUUGAGGGAAAAGGUGUGUGGGACUCUUGAGAAGGAGCCACUGAAGGCGAAGGGCCCUCCUUGUGCAGACCUCCAGGGGCAGGAAGGAUG
RNAcentral lists this long non-coding RNA (939 nucleotides) under Marmota monax (woodchuck). The record is from RNAcentral. Lineage: Eukaryota; Metazoa; Chordata; Mammalia; Rodentia; Sciuridae.